GACGAACGCUGGCGGCAUGCCUAACACAUGCAAGUCGAGCGAGUAGAUCCCUUCGGGGUGAAGCUAGCGGCGGACGGGUGAGUAACACGUGGGCAACCUGCCUCAUAGAGGGGAAUAGCCUUCCGAAAGGAAGAUUAAUACCGCAUAAGAUUGUAGCUUCGCAUGAAGCAGCAAUUAAAGGAGCAAUCCGCUAUGAGAUGGGCCCGCGGCGCAUUAGCUAGUUGGUGAGGUAACGGCUCACCAAGGCGACGAUGCGUAGCCGACCUGAGAGGGUGAUCGGCCACAUUGGGACUGCGACACGGCCCAGACUCCUACGGGAGGCAGCAGUGGGGAAUAUUGCACAAUGGGGGAAACCCUGAUGCAGCAAUGCCGCGUGAGUGGUGACGGCCUUCGGGUUGUAAAGCUCUGUCUUCGGGGACGAUAAUGACGGUACCCGAGGAGGAAGCCACGGCUAACUACGUGCCAGCAGCCGCUGUAA
RNAcentral lists this ribosomal RNA (478 nucleotides) under uncultured bacterium. RNAcentral describes it as "partial 16S ribosomal RNA". It matches the Rfam family "Bacterial small subunit ribosomal RNA", at positions 28 to 523 of the family's 1533-position model. The record is from RNAcentral.